UCUCCCACGUUACAGUUUGACUCCUGCUUUUCCAGAUCACACACUGGAACAGCGACACAGUCACACGUGCACUAAACUCUGUGUCGUGCACUCGAGGGGCGGUGUAUAAUGUGAGUAGCUGUGUGUUCCAGUCAAGCAGAGUUUAUCCAGACUGAAAUGUUGCAACAGAAGUCGAGUUUGUUGGCCAGAAUGACUCAACAUUUGGACGCCGAGAUGGGGUGGAGCACCGGUCCCUCUGUGUCGCUUACGCACGACUUUCUGAGCACAGAAACACAGCUGAUCAGUGACAGGACCGCACACGGAGCCAUAAACACAGCCCACUCAGCUGUGGGCUCCACCUGCUAAUUAGCACCAGUGCAAUGUUAUUUUAAUCAGGAAGGCGGAGCGGCGAGCCUGCGUAGAGGCAUUUUUUUCUUUUGGCUCCCGUCCAUCAGAAUUUCUUCUCGUUAAUCCCGAUUAAUCCCGACUAAUGCUUCUUUUGUCCAAAGACACGUCAUCAGCAGGCCUCCUCCUUUUUCUGCCCGACUUCAAACAAAUCAAUUACUGCAGGACGAGCUGGCUCUGUGCCGCCGGUGGCGCGUUUUUGCUGCUGUUAACAGACAGGCACGGAGGGAUUAGGAAAUCAUAAUUAAUCCUGAAAUGCUGAAGCACAUAUUUCAUGUCAGAGCGUUUAGAUAUACGGCACACGCUUGCAUAGCGAGUGGUCUAGCUGAAAGGACGUUGGGCUGCUGUCACCGAUGUCUGCGUCCCGUCUCCGCCCAUAUGUGCUCGCAGUUAGGCUGCAUUUGAUGUGUAAUUGUGCAUAAUUUCCCCAAAGUCAAUUAGCGACGCUUCUGAGCCCCUUAGAGUGAGAUUUAUCAGAGCCCACUCCACCCAAAGCAACAAAAUGGCAUCUGUCUGUAGCUCCCCCCACCGCCACCCCCUCCCUCUAAAUCUCUACUGGAAGGACUGGUAAUUCUGGACCUGUUCAGCUGUUGUACCAUUUGUUAAUGAGAAAUAAUUAAUAAGCAGAGCUGCUGUUGUCGUUCUUGUUGGACCAUCUGCUUUGAGUGUCACCACACAAACUUCAUCCUGGUCACUGCUUUGUGCCGAAGAUUCAAGCAGCAGAAUUAUUAUUUUUCUUUGCUGCUAACUGCUGAUCAACCUGAUAGUGACUGAAACGCAGUUUGCGCCGCCUGUUCUGGGGAUGAACACUAAAACAUGAGACUCCAUCAUUCGACAGCUACGCCCACCUCAAUAGUUUGAUAGCACACUAGUGAUGAAAGACUCAUUGGGAGUUGUGUUGUUAUAUACAGAAUAAUUUAUACCACCCACUGAAAUCCACCAAGGAGGCUAGCUAGCAGAAGGCCAGAGUUUCAGCUUACGCUUGCUUUAAGUUGUUGCCAAUCCAUUUUUAGCUGGUACAGCAUCUGAAAGUGUGCAAAAGAGCUUCAGUGAGACAAGUGAAAAUAUCACUUCACUUCUACAAUAACUGAAAUAUUUAUUAUGUAUGAUUUUAUCCAUCUAGCAUGUGCUGCUUAUUCAGGUUCAGGUCGUGGGGCAGGCUAAGCAGAGACACCCCAGACCUCCCUCUCUGAGUUUCUCCCUCACUGGAGUUUCUCCAGUGUGACCUGCGUCUGCCUCAGGUGCGAUACCCUCAGAGCAGCUGACCGAGGAGGCGUCCUGAUCUCAGUCUUAUAAUCACAGCUUGUGGACUGGAUAUAAAAGAUGGUCGUACCCACAGAGGUUUCACACACUGGUUUACAAACCUCAGGUUGACACUUUGUUAGCAACAUUGCUGCUGCUAUGCUGGCUUUUCAGAGAUAACAUAGAUCAUUUAGCAAAGAGCUAAAUUUAACGAUAGCUUAGUUGUGUGGGUGCUGAUGGUGUAUGAUUGUGUCUCACUGUUAAAAUUGUAAAUAUGAACAUGUGUGCUGUUUAAGCAGUUCAGUUGUGCUUUAAAUGCUUUGAAAUGCUUAAAAUGAGCAGUGGAGAUAAAAAUAGAUGGUUUAUGGUCACAUGCAUGUUUUCCUGCUGCUUCAGCUUUGGAUACAAACACAGUGUUGGGUAAACUAACAUUACCUGAGAGGAAAAUGACAAAAAAGAGACAAAGUUGCAGAAGUUUUGCUUACUUGGUAAUUAAAGAUAAUGAGAUGCCCUCGUGGAGAGAGUGAAGCAGAACUUACUGUAAUUACUCAGUUUGAAACUUCUGUCUCUGACUAAUAUGUCGCAGCCAUAAAGGUUUGAAAUGGAGAAAACGCGACAUAAAGCGUCUCUUAUCACUGUGAUUCAGUCAGGAGUGUUACUAUCCAACAUUUUUACAUCUGCACACAUGCUGUCAUUGUACUUAUUUAUUGAAAAAUGUUAAGAAAA
Long non-coding RNA from Oreochromis niloticus (Nile tilapia), 2352 nucleotides. RefSeq lists it as uncharacterized. The record is from RefSeq and is a predicted model, not a curated record. Lineage: Eukaryota; Metazoa; Chordata; Actinopteri; Cichliformes; Cichlidae. The transcript is spliced from 2 exons.